RNA transcript from Brassica oleracea var. oleracea, 643 nucleotides. It is a transcript of the gene named malonyl-CoA:anthocyanidin 5-O-glucoside-6''-O-malonyltransferase, with no coding region annotated. The transcript is spliced from 2 exons. NCBI's taxonomy places the organism in Eukaryota, Viridiplantae, Streptophyta, Magnoliopsida, Brassicales, Brassicaceae. The record is from RefSeq and is a predicted model, not a curated record.
CCAUUUACUCUUUUAACCCAACUUGCAAAAUCUGUGGUUGUCAUCCUCUUGGUGUUACAUACGUGCACUCUCGACACUGUUCAACGGUUUGUCUCCGGAGGAUAUAGAGAAGAAAAUGCUUUCACCGUUCGAGGCGUUUACGACAAUGGAACCGGGUCGACAGAUUAUUUCAGUGGCUGGGUCGACCCGGUUGGGAAUCUACGGGUCGGAUAUCGGGUGGGGGAAACCGUUGAGGGUAGAGAUAGUGACGAUCGAUAAGGACACGUCAGUUUCGUUGUCAGAGAGUAGAGAUGGAACCAGCGGUGUUGAGAUUGGGCUUUGCUUGACGAAAGAUGACGUGGAACGGUUUGGUUGGUUUGAUUGCUUUGCUUAGCUAUUGUGAUGCUAUCGGAGGGAGACGUGUGUGUGAGUGUCGAGUGUGCACAUGUGUCAAGCAUCCAGAGGAAUGGCGUCGAUGGAUUUUGCAAGUUGGUUUAAAAGGGUAAUUCGUUGUGAGGCCUACCAUCUGAUCCGUUGCGUGUUGUCUAGAGAUUCUCUUGCUCCGUAAAAGUCACAAAGUAUGUACACAAAUUUCAUACGUAUCUUUCACUGUUUCACAUGCUUUGUCUUCUUCUUUUUCGAAUUUCGUUUCUUAAUUGUUUUG